CAUUUAUAUCAAGAAAUAUCUGAAAGAUACAGGAGAAAAAGGGAAUUGUCCAUUUUUUUUCAUUUUUUUCAAUUUUUGAAUUGAUUUUGUUUAGCUAUUAGUGAUUUAAUGUAUAAUCCUAGGUAGGAUAAUAUUAGGUAGUAAAUGACCUGAUGUUAUGCCGUCUGUUUAACCGAGUUACGAAAAACAUACGUAUUCUGAAAGUAUAUUGUUAUCAAAAAUAGU
Molecule: non-coding RNA, 225 nt
Organism: Cinara cedri
Lineage: Eukaryota; Metazoa; Arthropoda; Insecta; Hemiptera; Aphididae
Source: the annotation of a GenBank genome assembly